GUUGAAGGUGCGCCCCGUGCCUGAAGACGUUCCCUGUGCCUGAAGCCGCUCCCUGUUACUGAAGCCUUGCCUCUUGCCUGAAACAGUUCCACGUGCCUGUACUCAAGCCCCUUGCCUGAAGGCAAAACCCACACCUGAAGAGUUCACUGUGCAUGAUGGGGAGCCUCUUGUUGAAAGGCACAUGUGCUCCCCUUGCCUGAAUGGCACAGGAGAUCCAGGUGCCUGAAGUCGCGCCGCAUGCCUUAAGAAGCUCCCCGUGCCUGAAGACAAGGCCCAUGCCAGAAGGCGCUCCCCUGACUCAAGGUCACAGGUACUCCCUGAAGUCUUGCCAAUGCCUGACUGAGCGCCCCUUACCUGAGUGUGCCCUAUGUCUGAUGGUGAGCCCAGUGCCUGAUGGCCCUCCCAGUGCCUGAAGAACACAGAGGCUCCCCUUGCCUGAAGUCGUGCCCUGUGCAUGUAGCCUCUCACUGUAACUGAAGGUGCUCCCAGUGCCUGAAGACAAGCUCCAUGGUUGAAGGUGCGCCCUGUGCCUGGAAAGUUUCCCUGUGCCUGAAGCAGCUCCCUGUUCCCGAAGGCAUGCCUCUUGCCUGAAACAGCUCCAUGUGCAAUUACUCAAGCCCCUUGCCUGAAGGCAACCCUCCUACCUGAAGCCUUGCCCCUUACAUGAAGCCCCGCCCAGUUUCUGCAGGCAAGCCCCUUGCCUGAAGGCACGCCCAAUGUCUGAAGUCUUGCCCCACGCCUGAAUUCUCACCCUGUGCCUGUUGGUUAGCCCACUGCCUGAAGGGCACAGGCAUGCCCAGUGCCUGAGGGCAAGCCCAGUGACUGAAGUCAGUCGCCCCCAAUGGCUGAAGUCAUGCCCAGUGAAUGAAGUCAUUCCCAAAGCCACUCCCAGGGACUGAAGUCAAAGUCACUCCCAGUGAAGGAAGUUACUCCCAAAGUCACUCCCAAUGAGGGAAGCCCCUCCUGUGGUCACUCCCCAUGAUGGAAGUCACUCCAGAUAUCACUCCCAGUGACUGAAGUCACUGGCGAAGUCACUCCCAGUGAAGGAAUUCCCUCUGGAAGUCACUCCAGGUGAGGAAAGUCACUCCAGAAGCCACUCCCAGUGACUGAAGUCAAAGUCACACUCAGUGUCUGCAGUUACUCCUAGUGACUGCAGUCCUCACUCCCAGUGACUGAAGUCUUCACUGCCAGUGCCUGAAGUAGGCACUCCCAGUGCCUGAAGGAAUUGCAGGGGAAGGACAGAGAGAGAGGGAGACACAGAAUUCCAAGCAGCGUCCAGGCUCUGUGGUCUCAGCACAGAAACUCCCGGGGAAGGUCAGAGAGAGAGAGAGGGAGAUACAGAAUCGCAAGCAGCCUCUCCUAGCUCUGUCGUGGGAUCACAGAACCUCCAGUGCUCUGCCCCUGGCUUAAUCUUGUCCUCAGCACAGUUCUGGACACAGACAUGGACACUCCCAUUUUACUGAAGGAAACCAGCCCAGGCUCACACAGCUGGAGUCCUCAGGAGAUCCCUAUUGAGUCAGCUGGAUUUCUUCUCUGACGACCACCCUCUCCCCCCGGAGAAUCAAGUAUAUGAAGGUUCACCUCUCCCUUAAUGAAGUUGAUACCAAGGGAGUGAAAUCAAAGUCCGAAAAACAGCCUCUGCAGAAAGAAAAUGCUCAGCUUAAGAUCCAAAAGAAUCAGGAAGCUGGGACUGAAAGAAUGGGAGCAGUGGAAGGGGAGAAGCAGCUGUCAGCCACAGAGGAGAAAGUGAAAUUAGCUGCAGAAGAGCUUCGGAACUACAAACUAUGUGGAAAUGGUUCCUGAACAUGUUUCUCGAGGUCCUGGAAAUGAUUACACACCUCAGGAAGCAGUUUGGUCAAGGACAAAUCACAUCGACAAGUAUGAAGAUCCCAUUUUAGAGACGCACUUGUUGUAACCAUGAGAAAUAUGAUAAGGAUACAAGGAAAAGAAGAUUUGAGCUUUACAAUGAAAGAUCCUCACUGCAGAAUUAGAGAGCUGUCACCACAGUUAAGGAAACCGUGUCAAUGUGGAGCCCCACAGGCAUUAAAUAAUAAAUCCAAGAUGAUGUAGCGAUGGCUUUGAGAUUUCUGUACUCUCUUCCUCAUGUGAAAUGUGUCUUCUAUGAUUGGGUCGUAUGUAUGAGAAUUCAGUUCUUGUGAUGGGAACCUGGGCCAAUUAACAUCACGCUCAACAUGGUGCUUCAUCUGAUGAAAGCCAUUGCACGCCCAGGAGAAGAAUAGAAGAAACACAAGAACAGCUGCAGCAGUCAGAGCUCACCUUCAGACACCAGGUAGCCUGCACUCUGCCUAGUAGUUCCUAAGUGCUUCAGCACCUAACGCAGAUGAUCAUAACGGGACACUGAAUCUCUCCACAUGGGUUUUAUUGAUGUGCUGACUGUUUCUGAUUGCUCUUUGUGACAAGGCAUUUCAGGACAACUGGGUAAGAAUGUUUCCUCUCCUCCUCUUGUGCACACCCCGCCACAACUAAACGUAGAUGUGUUUCUCUCUCGAGUUCGGGGCUCAUGAUCUGGAGAAGGCAGUGGCGGAGCAGAGCAGGGAGGUUGCCUACUUGAAAUGCAGGUACAGGAUUUUGGCAUAUUUCUUUUAAGGGCGCUGUGACGUUUUAAAAAAGGCUAAACCAUUUGGUGUCCAAUGGAGGCCUGGUUGUGGUAACUCUUAGUGAAAUUGACUCAUCUCGAUCUUUAAGACUGGAAGUCAUCCAAAGACAGAGGCUUCUAGAGGAAUUCAGGAGGCACAAGCCAAUGGCACGGGGACCUGACAAGGAGAUCCCUCCAUGGAGAGAUUCAAAAUUGUUUUGGGGGAGAAAUCCUGUCACAAAUACGGAGGAACAGGAGUCGCUUUCAGUUUGGAAGUAAAGACACCAAAUGUUGACUCUCAGGACCUUCUAGAAGAAUCAGCUGGGACCCACUCUCCAAGUCCUGCUGGAAGCAGAGCCAGAGGUAGACACACAAAUGCACCCUGACAAAUAUGUGCUCAUCCAAGGCCACAGAUGUAUUGAAGAAGAAAACACGCAUAUAGAAGAACAGAAGAUCCCUUUGCAAUAACUCAAUCACUUUGACAUAGAGGGCCAUCAGUUUGAAAUUUGAAGAGCACACUGAAGCAUUACAAACCAGCUGUGGUUAUUAUAUAUUUAGAGAUGGUGUCUAAUCUACCCCUUGGUCUGAAUGCUUUCCCUGUCCACCCCGUCCCCUCCACAUUGUCCUUCCUAAUAUCCCCUAAUACACUUGUCAUAGUUGUGUUUCUAUGUCAGCGUCUGCCUCCAGGAAAAUCGACACUCAUUCCCCAUCAAGUGUACACUUUGGCGUUCCUGUAUAUGCAGUUAACAAACAGGUCCAUAUUCUCCCUCUGGAACGAAUGGUGUGCAUCCAAAUCGUGGGUUGCUAUCCUCCUGUCCACAACCAAUCUGAGGAUUCCAGAAGAUUCAGGCUUGUUUCCCGGAAGAAACCCUGACAGAAGUUCAGAAGAACGGGAGCUGCAUUCUGUUAGGACGUGAAUACAUGAAAUGCUCGUCUCAUGACCUUCUAGAAGAAUGAGCUAGGACCCACUUUCCGAGUCCUGCUGGAACCAGAGACCGAGGCCGCUGCUAUGAUGCUCAACAGGGAACCUGAAGCACACUGGGAUUCAGGAGCAGACCAACUACCACUUGGCUCCCACAAAUGGUCGCCUUGGAACUCUUUAUGGAAGAGGAGAAAACACCCACCACCACCGUUUCAUAACCCUGCACCGAAUGUGGAGACAACAAUCACCCACCCCCAAAGGAAACUCUAGCAGGGUACAUGUAUCAAACCUAAGGUGUUGGUUAUGUAUUUUGGAUCAAUAAGUGAGUUUGUACUUUUGACUGGUAAGUGUACAUCUAAAUCCCUCAGAGGGGAUAUUCUCUGAGGUCACCCCAACCUAAAUUGUUGGCCCAUGGGGAGAUGUGUUGUCCCUACUGAUUGUAUUGAUGUUGUCUCUGUAGGCCAGUGAAUUAAAGCUCCAUAGGGUCUUGUCCUGUUCUUGCCUCUUCACGGGAAGGUCCAUUUCACCUAUUGAAAAAGACAGCAAGGGAGUAGUGUUGGCACUAUUAAAUCUGACGUUUCAUGAAUGAGUCUUUUCACUUUCAUGGCUGAAGAAGCAGCAUCUCUUAUGAUGAGGGUUAGGGUUUGGAUUAUCCUGAGGAUUAGGGUAAGGGUUAAGUCAUGCUUGCACCCCCGUUUUGACAAGGGAGGAAGGUCACACCUGACCCCCGCCACCCUCCUUGUGGAAGGGUGUUCAGGCAUGCAGCCUGCCUCCCCUCCACAAGGGAGUAGUGAUGCCACUACUUAAUGUGUUGUUUCAUGAAUGGCUCUUUUCCCUUUCACAGCUGAAGAAGCAGGCAUUUCUUAAGCUGAAGAAGCAUGCAUCUCUUAAGGUCAGGGGUAGGGUUAGCAUUACAGUUAGGGGUUAAGAUAAGAGCUAGGUCAUGCUUGCUCUCCCCCCUCAGCACGGGAAGACUUCACGCAUCACCCCACUAUCCUGAGCAAGGGAGAGUGUUCACCUUUUCACCCCAAUCCCUGAGAGUGGUAAAAUAUUGAAGCACGUGCUCCACUCCACUUCCUUUGGGGAGGGCUUUCACACAUGCGUAGAUCCCCCCUUCAGGACAGAUUGUUCACAUAUGUGCAUGACCACCUGUCGGGUCGGGAGGGUGUUCACUCAUGGGCACACCCCACCUCUGCAUGGGAGAUGGUUCAUGCAUGUGUCUUGCUCACCUCUGCAGGGAGGGUUUUUACGCAUGUGCACAGCCCCACCUUGGUGUGGGAGGAGGUCACCCAUGCAGAGCGCCACCCUUCAAUGAGGAUAUAGUGAUGCCAUUAUUAAAUGUGAUGUUUCAUGAAUGGUUCUUUUCAAUUUCACAGCUGAAGUAGCAGACAACUCUUAAGCUGAAGAAGCAUGCAUCACUUAAGCUGAAGAAACGCGGCCAGGGAGGGCAUUGACGUAUGCUCCCCGCUCCCCUCGCCAGGAUGCUGUUCACGCAUGUGCAAAGUCCCCCCUCCUUGCCAAAGGGGGUUCAAGCAUGCCCACAACCCCCGCUCUCUGAAGAAACACACAUCUCUUAAGGCUUGCAUCUUCCCUCUACCUCUAUACUCCAAGUUCCUGGCUGGCACUGGAAUUACAUCUUUAGCACGGACAUCAUAACCUCCAGGUGAGAUUCAGGCUUGUUUCCGGGAAGAAACCCUGACAGAAAUUCAGAAGAACAGGAGCUGCAUUCCAUUAGGACAUGAAUACAUGAAAUACUCGUCUUGGGAACUCCUAGAAGAAUGAGCUGGGACCCACUUUCGAGUCCUGCUAGAACCAGUGACCGAGAUCACAUGCUGUGAUGGACAUCCCCUCAUGAAAACCUGUCAAGGUGGACGAGAGAAACCUGCUUGCCUGUGACUGCCACUUUAUGGUCACAUCUUUUCCUUCUGAAACCCCUUGAACACUCUAUCAUUCUUCCAGCCUUUGAACAUCUCUUCGAUUUGAAAAUAUUUCAUUCUCUUGUAUUCAUGCUAAAAAAUAUGUGUGAAAAUAUUAAAGCAAGGGUUCUUUACAAUAAGUGAGCCAGUCACAAUGAUCCAUCUGGCCGUGUGUACGUAUGUUUUCUUUUUUGGACACUGUUCAGGCAUGAUGUGAAGUACAUCCUGUAAAAUCUGAGUAUCAUUCAUUAUCUAGGAUAACCGCCUUUAUGGAAAGCCAUUUAAUGACAUGUUCAUUCCAGAUCCGAAAAACACUUAAUUUACAUACCACAUAAUACAGUGGUGUCUACAUAUGUUAUUACCUUAAAAUAUGGAAAGUGGAUGUUUCUAUGAAGUGUAUAUCAUACAUUGAGUUUUCUGUACCAUGAAUGCUAUUAUUUAAAUUACACAAUAGUAAGAACAAAAAGAAUAGGUACAUGGCCAUCACUAGUAACUAAGACUAGAACUAGUCAUAUAAUAUUAGGUGUUGAAAACAUAAAACCAUGAUUACUAAUAAUCUUUUCAAUCGUGGUGGGUUUCUAGUUACCAGAAAAAUUGGGAAGAUAUUAUUGAGUCUCCACAUACAUCAGAGUGUUUUCUGACUAUUGAUGUCCUCUAAGUUGAUACAUGAUCACAAUUAAUAUCCCAAAGAGAUAUGGUACUAUUAACUAACUUUGUAUUUGUAUUCAGAAUGCUUCGGUUUUAAACUCUUCUGUCCCAGACUCAUCCCAGCUGGCACAUGACAGUCAUCCUGU
Molecule: long non-coding RNA, 6228 nt
Organism: Felis catus (domestic cat)
Lineage: Eukaryota; Metazoa; Chordata; Mammalia; Carnivora; Felidae
Exons: 19
Source: RefSeq, a predicted model, not a curated record